This 444-nucleotide ribosomal RNA is filed under the name uncultured bacterium. RNAcentral's name for it is "partial 16S ribosomal RNA". It matches the Rfam family "Bacterial small subunit ribosomal RNA", at positions 338 to 795 of the family's 1533-position model. The record is from RNAcentral.
CCUACGGGAGGCAGCAGUGGGGAAUAUUGGACAAUGGAGGAAACUCUGAUCCAGCAAAGCCGCGUGAAUGAAGACGGUCUUCGGAUUGUAAAGCUCUUUCGUCAGGGAAGAAAGAAAUGACGGUACCUGAAGAAUAAGCUCCGGCUAACUACGUGCCAGCAGCCGCGGUAAUACGUAGGGAGCAAGCGUUGUUCGGGAUUACUGGGGGUAAAGGGUGCGUAGGCGGUUGUGCAAGUUAGGAGGGAAAUACCGAGGGCUUACCCCGGGGCCUGCUUCUAAAACUGUUUGACUUGAGUGCAGUAGAGGUUGGCGGAAUUCCUAGUGUAGAGGUGGAAUGCGUAGAUAUUAGGAGGAACACCAGAGGCGAAGGCGGCUAACUGGACUGCAACUGACGCUGAGGUGCGAAAGCGUGGGGAGCAAACAGGAUUAGAUACCCCGGUAGUC